UUGUAUUAAAUAAUUCAACCCCACGUCGUGGGGAUCCGGAAGAAUACAAACUCCAGGACACCGGAAAAACAUCGAGUAUCUAAAAGAACAACGACAACAAGCCCAUAAAUAAGAACUAAAACUAAAACACAACGACAGCAAGCCCAUAAACAAGUACUAAAUCUAAAACAAGAGAAUCGAGCGAGGGAAAGAAGAUAGAUGAAGCGCAAAGCUUCCAUCUCUGAAAAGACACAGGUGGAGGAGAGCAUUCCGGUGUUCCCGCGACAUCUCGAGGACCGGCGUGUCCGAGACUGAUCGUAGAUCUUUCAAACAGUUGGCCUUCCUACCACAACCCACCUUCGGAGGUAGUCCCGCGGCUCCGAAGUCCAUUUCCAUAGAAUCAAACUCUCAAACCUUAACUCCUUCUUUAGCUCUGUAGAGCUGCCGCCAUAAAUACUAGAUCUACGCGCACAUAACCCUAAAUACACCGGUCAAGAUGGGACCGCUUUGACAAGAUGCACAGCGAGGAGAACUGCCAUCUCCUCAGAAAGCUCUGUCGCUGACAGCCACCAUCACAACCGCGGUGCACACCUCUGUGCCCCGAUCACUGACUUGCGAAGCCGAGCGAGCCUCUGCACCGUCCUCAAGCAGAAAGAGCAAGCUGUUUUCCGACGAGCCCACAGAGCAUCAGCGACGCCUUGGAGAUCCAACGCUUCAGUGAUCUCACCACUUCGGAAGAGAGAGAGAAGUGCCUCCAGACGACCACCGGAUCGCUAACUCCCGUCGGUGAUGCGCAGGUUCCGAUUCUCAAGGGGAGGAGAAGGAUUGAUCUACCGGAUUGUCAUGAACGGCGUCAGAAUGAUCCUCUCCAAACAGAAGCGAUAUAAAACAAGGAGAGAGGAAGGAGUUGCGCGUGGUAUUCACGCCACAAAACCACACGUUGCAUCUAUAAUACAAGGGCAAUUUUGGUUUAAAACAAAAGCUGUAUAGUUUGUUUUUACUAUGACCAUUUAGCUAAAUAAUGUUUGAAAUGUGUCUAUAGCAUGCAAUUGCUCUAUAUUUUUUCUUAUCAAGUUUUCCG
RNAcentral lists this long non-coding RNA (1060 nucleotides) under Brassica napus (rape). RNAcentral's name for it is "long non-coding RNA (BNAP_LNC006854)". The record is from RNAcentral. Lineage: Eukaryota; Viridiplantae; Streptophyta; Magnoliopsida; Brassicales; Brassicaceae.